CUUCAGGUGGCAGACAAAUUGCUUUGAGUUUUUACCUCAACAAAUGGGGUUUUCCCCCUGAAGC
Molecule: transfer RNA, 64 nt
Filed under: Bovicola bovis (cattle chewing louse)
Lineage: Eukaryota; Metazoa; Arthropoda; Insecta; Psocodea; Bovicoliidae
Description: tRNA-Lys
Source: RNAcentral